RNAcentral lists this ribosomal RNA (428 nucleotides) under uncultured prokaryote. RNAcentral's name for it is "bacterial SSU rRNA". It matches the Rfam family "Bacterial small subunit ribosomal RNA", at positions 355 to 774 of the family's 1533-position model. The record is from RNAcentral.
UGGGGAAUCUUGGGCAAUGGGGGCAACCCUGACCCAGCGACGCCGCGUGAGUGAGGAAGGUCUUCGGAUCGUAAAGCUCUGUCGGAUGGGAAGAAAUGUAUGGGAGUGAACAGCUUUCAUGCUUGACGGUACCAUCAGAGGAAGCACCGGCUAACUCCGUGCCAGCAGCCGCGGUAAUACGGGGGGUGCAAGCGUGGUUCGGAAUCAUUGGGCGUAAAGGGCGUGUAGGCGGCUGGAUAAGUCAGAUGUGAAAUCCCUGGGCUUAACCCAGGAAGUGCAUUUGAAACUGUCCGGCUUGAGUGAGGGAGAGGAAAGUGGAAUUCCUGGUGUAGAGGUGAAAUUCGUAGAUAUCAGGAGGAACACCGGUGGCGAAGGCGACUUUCUGGCCCUAUACUGACGCUGAGACGCGAAAGCGUGGGGAGCAAACA